CACGUAGGGGGCCAGCGUUGUCCGGAUUCAUUGGGCGUAAAGCGCGUGUAGGCGGCCAGGUAGGUCCGAUGUGAAAUCUGGAGGCUCAACCUCCAGCGGUCAUUGGAAACCAUCUGGCUAGAGUCCGGAAGAGGAGAGUGGAAUUCCUGGUGUAGCGGUGAAAUGCGCAGAUAUCAGGAAGAACACCAAUGGCGAAGGCAGCUCUCUGGGACGGUACUGACGCUGAGACGCGAAAGCGUGGGGAGCGAACAGG
This 253-nucleotide ribosomal RNA is filed under the name uncultured bacterium. RNAcentral's name for it is "partial 16S ribosomal RNA". It matches the Rfam family "Bacterial small subunit ribosomal RNA", at positions 524 to 776 of the family's 1533-position model. The record is from RNAcentral.